UUCCCCUACUCCUACGGGAGGCAGCAGUAGGGAAUCUUCCGCAAUGGACGAAAGUCUGACGGAGCAACGCCGCGUGAGUGAUGAAGGCUUUCGGGUCGUAAAACUCUGUUGUUAGGGAAGAACAAGUGCUAGUUGAAUAAGCUGGCACCUUGACGGUACCUAACCAGAAAGCCACGGCUAACUACGUGCCAGCAGCCGCGGUAAUAAA
Molecule: ribosomal RNA, 208 nt
Filed under: Bacillus cereus
Lineage: Bacteria; Bacillati; Bacillota; Bacilli; Caryophanales; Bacillaceae
Description: partial 16S ribosomal RNA
Rfam family: Bacterial small subunit ribosomal RNA
Source: RNAcentral